Molecule: long non-coding RNA, 3302 nt
Organism: Columba livia (rock pigeon)
Lineage: Eukaryota; Metazoa; Chordata; Aves; Columbiformes; Columbidae
Exons: 2
Source: RefSeq, a predicted model, not a curated record
GCAGCUCGGCUGCGGGGGCAGGGAUGUGCCCUGGGCUGGGACGGAGGGGACUCCGAUCAGGCACAAGGUCACACACUGCUGGGUGAGGUUUGUUUCUCUUUCCAAAUUCUGUGAUAAACCAUGGAAUUUUUUGCUGUGCUGUAGGCCCUUCCCCAUCCCCCUGAGGUGCGGGGUGUUGCUCGCUGGCAGGGAUGGACACUGUUCCCCCGGUUAUGAGGGCUCCCGGCACGUGGCAUGGACAGUCUCCUGCCUCCGGUGAGGAGCAGCACCGGGAAUGUGCCAGGGAGGCUGGGGUGGUUGACGGUGGGACUUUGUCGUGGAGCAGGGACGGGGGGUGUGACGAGAGACCUUUCUGACACCGGACACCGUAUCAUUGUGGGAAUCUUCAGAGAUGGGGAGCAAAUGGACAAAACGAUAGUGUGGACCAGUCGUGGGACAUGUGGCGUAACCACCGGUCCAAAGAGUGUGAACCAUGUUGUGUUGGAAAAUAGCCUGGGCGGCACGGAAAACUUGGAAAAAUGGGAAGUAACUGAACUGAGCGAUCGUGACUUGGAUGGGUGUGCCUGAGGCACGACUCAUUUGCUAGGAAAGCAUAAGUGUCCUUGUACAGGCCUUAUCAACACCCAGAAUUGUGGGUUAUCUUGGCUGUAUUUAUAGGCAAUGUGCUGAUUUUAGUUAUUGGACCUGCUGUGUUAGCAUGGGAAGUUACUGGGGGGUUGUGGAAAAUUACAGCCGAUGGGUGUAAGAACAAAGCACAGGAACUGGUGGUUUGGCAACAGUAUCUUGUUAUAGUCGCGCGAAGCUUUCCUAACACGAAAGGCAUGUAGUUACAAGGACCUAAGAUAAGAUAUGCAUGCUUUCUUACUAACCUAUCAUGAGCUCAGCUUUUGUAAUAUGUAUGAGCUAAUUAGUUGGUAUACCAAUCAGUAUAAUCCACGAUAGUAGUUGUAAUGUAUGUAACAGUAUAAAAGGAUUGUGUAGAGAACAAUAAAGUGGACACUUUGCUUGCAUCAAGUUGCGUCCCCGUCUCUUCAUCGCGGCAAAUGGUGCCCCCCGACGUGAUCUUUGGUGAAGACUCCGCCGGAGGCUGAUAAUCACCUAUCUGGUGGCGUGCUGCGAGUCCCGCAGAACUGGGAACGCUGCUACAAGGAGCAGGGAAAAGCCGGCUACUGAAGUCAUCACCCCCGUCUGGAACGAGAGAGAGAGGUCCUCGCUGGAUCCCGGCAAAGAACAUGAGACCCUUCCGAGAAACAUUGCAACGGCAGUCCUCUGAUAACGCUCCAGAACCUGCGUUCGAUGAGGAGAACGUUGCUCCCGAAUGAAUUCCGUCUCAGAAACAGUACCACAGACCUGGGAAGUAAACCCCGAUAAGUGGGAGGAAACAAAAAGGAGGUGUCGGAAAAAGAGAAACAGAAGGAAGACUAAGAGCCUGCAGGAAUGGGCCGAGUAUUAAUCUUUUUGUUAAGUACUAUAAGCUUAGGUCUUAGCUUUGAUUUACAUCAUGUUGACCCUCAUACUAAUGUGUGGCUCACGUGGGCAAAUCGUACCGGGACCACAGACUUUUGUCUGUCCCUGGCGCAAGUAAGCGAUCCGUUUAGAACAUGUUUAAUUGGGUAUCCAUAUGUACACCUAGACGAUUUUCGAGGUUACGUUAACACCCCUGAUUUGUCGAAUGUACUCAAUUCCUCAUAUUGGCAAUGGAGGAGAAAUAACAGUGACGGAUGGUGUAUAAAAAGUAGCGACUGGCCAGUAGAGCAGGGAGCCAUGCUCCAGCAAGGCUUAAUUCAAAGGCUCAAUUUCUCUAAUCACUUACCGUUUCAGGAACUGACACUUUGGGGCUCCUUCCCUCCACAGGGGGAAUGGGAGAACAUCUCAAAUCGCGAAAAUUGCUCUAAUAUGAGUCCGGAGAUUCUUCCUGUUAACGGGACUGGAGUGGUCUAUUUUGGUGAUAGCUGGACUGGGUAUUUGAUUCGAGAUGGUCACAAAGAGACAUUAGAUUCACUGAUUCAUUAUCAAAACGUGUCAGGUAACUCUGGUCAUUGGAACAUUUCGAUGAAUACAGGGGCUAGAGAUGUGGCCAAUAUCACUGGACAGGUAAGGUUGCCAAAAGGCUAUUUCUUGAUUUGUGGAGAUAGAGCAUGGCCCGGAAUUCCUUUUAAACCUGUGGGAGGACCUUGUUAUAUUGGGAGACUUACGCUGUUCGCACCUCAUAUGAGGGACAUGCUUAAUCGUUCCCUGAGCAAUAGUACCAGAUCAAAAAGGUCAUUGCGACAAUUACAACCAGAUUGCGAUGAUCACGUCAAUUUAGGGUCUUUAGGAUCUACUAUAGCUCUGUCCCUAUUUUUGCCUGGUGGAAUGGCCGCAAGCAAUUGGAAUAAAAUAAAACAAUUGGCAUGCUGGGCUGUCAAAGAAUUUAACACGACCUCUGACAUUUUGUCAGGAUUAGCUCAAGAUGUAGAUAGCUUACGACAUGUAGUCUUACAGAAUCGUGCCGCCAUAGAUUUCCUUUUACUAGCCCACGGACAUGGAUGUCAAGAAUUUGAAGGAAUGUGUUGCAUGAAUCUAUCUGAUCACUCUGUGAGCAUUCAUAAACAGAUUGCAGAACUACGAGAAAGGAUUCACAAUGUGCAGGAAGGAAUGGAUGGACUCGAUGGGUGGCUAGCUUCUUGGGGAAUUACAGGGUGGAUAAAAGAUUUACUUAAACAGGGAAUUUUGAUCCUUUUAGUAAUUUGUGUAUUAUUACUAACGAUUCCAUGUAUUUUGCAGUGCUUACAAAAGUCGAUAACCGCUUCAGUAAAUAAGCUUUUUCUUGUACAAGCACAAGACCUCCCGAAAACUCCCAGUACAGAAGCAAGACGUCCUCGAACUGGUUGGGCGCCGACCUUGGGAAGAAGCAAAUGUUUGAAAACAAAAAGGGGGAGAUGUGGGUUAUCUUGGCUGUAUUUAUAGGCAAUGUGCUGAUUUUAGUUAUUGGACCUGCUGUGUUAGCAUGGGAAGUUACUGGGGGGUUGUGGAAAAUUACAGCCGAUGGGUGUAAGAACAAAGCACAGGAACUGGUGGUUUGGCAACAGUAUCUUGUUAUAGUCGCGCGAAGCUUUCCUAACACGAAAGGCAUGUAGUUACAAGGACCUAAGAUAAGAUAUGCAUGCUUUCUUACUAACCUAUCAUGAGCUCAGCUUUUGUAAUAUGUAUGAGCUAAUUAGUUGGUAUACCAAUCAGUAUAAUCCACGAUAGUAGUUGUAAUGUAUGUAACAGUAUAAAAGGAUUGUGUAGAGAACAAUAAAGUGGACACUUUGCUUGCA